This 441-nucleotide ribosomal RNA is filed under the name uncultured bacterium. Its description in RNAcentral is "partial 16S ribosomal RNA". It matches the Rfam family "Bacterial small subunit ribosomal RNA", at positions 338 to 795 of the family's 1533-position model. The record is from RNAcentral.
CCUACGGGUGGCAGCAGUGGGGAAUAUUGCACAAUGGGGGAAACCCUGAUGCAGCAACGCCGCGUGAGUGAAGAAGUCUUUCGGUAUGUAAAGCUCUAUCAGCAGGGAAGAAGAAAGACGGUACCUGACUAAGAAGCCCCGGGUAACUACGUGCCAGCCGCCGCGGUAAUACGGGGGGGGGAAGCGUUUUCCGGAUUUACUGGGUGAAAAGGGAGCGUAGACGGCUGUGCAAGUCUGAAGUGAAAGCCCUGGGCUCAACCGGGGAACUGCUUUGGAAAAUGUAUAGCUUGAGUACUGGAGAGGCAGGCGGAAUUCCUAGUGUAGCGGUGAAAUGCGUAGAUAUUAGGAGGAACACCAGUGGCGAAGGCGGCCUGCUGGACAGAAACUGACGUUGAGGCUCGAAAGCGUGGGGAGCAAACAGGAUUAGAUACCCGAGUAGUC